ACGGGGCCCGCACAAGCAGCGGAGCGUGUGGUUUAAUUCGAUGCAACACGAAAACCUUACCAAGGCUUGACAUGACAGAAGUAGCAAACCGAAAGGGCGCCACCUGUUAAAUCAGGAGCUGCCACAGGUGCUGCAUGGCUGUCGUCAGCUCGUGCCGUGAGGCGUUAGGUUAAGUCCUGUAACGAGCGCAACCCUUGUUGCCAGUUAAUUUCUCUGGCGAGACCGCCCCGAAAACGGGAGGAAGGUGGGGAUGACGUCAAGUCAGCAUGGCCCUUAUGCCUUGGGCUACACACACGCUACAAUGGGUGGUACAAUGGGUAGCAAGGGAGCGAUCCGGAGCUAAUCCUUUAAAACCAUCCUCAGUUCGGAUUGCAGGCUGAAACCCGCCUGCAUGAAGUCGGAGUUGCUAGUAACCGCAAAUCAGCAUGUUGCGGUGAAUACGUUCUCGGGCCUU
This 454-nucleotide ribosomal RNA is filed under the name uncultured Dehalococcoidia bacterium. Its description in RNAcentral is "bacterial SSU rRNA". It matches the Rfam family "Bacterial small subunit ribosomal RNA", at positions 916 to 1381 of the family's 1533-position model. The record is from RNAcentral. Lineage: Bacteria; Bacillati; Chloroflexota; Dehalococcoidia.